RNAcentral lists this ribosomal RNA (603 nucleotides) under uncultured bacterium. RNAcentral's name for it is "bacterial SSU rRNA". It matches the Rfam family "Bacterial small subunit ribosomal RNA", at positions 34 to 626 of the family's 1533-position model. The record is from RNAcentral.
CGCUAGCGACAGGCCUAACACAUGCAAGUCGAGGGGUAACAGAUAUAAAGCUUGCUUUAUAUGCUGACGACCGGCGCACGGGUGAGUAACACGUAUGCAACCUACCUUUUACAGGAGAAUAACCCAGAGAAAUUUGGACUAAUACUCCAUAAUAUUUUUGUAUCGCAUGAUAUAGAAAUUAAAGUUCCGGCGGUAAAAGAUGGGCAUGCGUCCUAUUAGUUAGUUGGUAAGGUAACGGCUUACCAAGGCUAUGAUAGGUAGGGGUUCUGAGAGGAUAAUCCCCCACAUUGGUACUGAGACACGGACCAAACUCCUACGGGAGGCAGCAGUGAGGAAUAUUGGUCAAUGGCCGCAAGGCUGAACCAGCCAUGUCGCGUGAAGGAUGACUGCCCUAUGGGUUGUAAACUUCUUUUGUAUGGGAAGAAAGGUGUCUACGUGUAGAUAUUUGCCGGUACCAUACGAAUAAGGAUCGGCUAACUCCGUGCCAGCAGCCGCGGCAAUACGGAGGAUCCAAGCGUUAUCCGGAUUUAUUGGGUUUAAAGGGUGCGUAGGUGGCUGUAUAAGUCAGUAGUGAAAUCUCGGAGCUCAACUCCGAACGUGCUA